GUCCACGCAGUAAACGAUGAUAACUCGUUGUCGGCGAUACACAGUCGGUGACUAAGCGAAAGCGAUAAGUUAUCCACCUGGGGAGUACGUUCGCAAGAAUGAAACUCAAAGGAAUUGACGGGGGCCCCGCACAAGCGGAGGAACAUGUGGUUUAAUUCGAUGAUACGCGAGGAACCUUACCCGGGCUUGAAAGUUAGCGACGAUUCUUGAAAGAGGAUUUCCCUUCGGGGCGCGAAACUAGGUGCUGCAUGGUUGUCGU
RNAcentral lists this ribosomal RNA (259 nucleotides) under uncultured bacterium. RNAcentral describes it as "partial 16S ribosomal RNA". It matches the Rfam family "Bacterial small subunit ribosomal RNA", at positions 793 to 1055 of the family's 1533-position model. The record is from RNAcentral.